Molecule: long non-coding RNA, 1400 nt
Organism: Mercenaria mercenaria
Lineage: Eukaryota; Metazoa; Mollusca; Bivalvia; Venerida; Veneridae
Exons: 2
Source: RefSeq, a predicted model, not a curated record
UGCCUAUACAAAUGUAUCUCAUCUGGAGAAUUUGCCGUUUGAAUAUAUUAUCCACGUCAAUAGCCCAGUUUGGGACACAGAUCACACGCAGAACGAAAAAGAUUUGAAAAAGACACUUUCGAAUGUUCUUGAUGUAGUAUGUAAAAGACAGUCACAAGUGAGAGUGAAAUCUUUAUCUAUUCCGUCAAUUAGUAGCGGGGCUGCUCGUUUUCCUAAGGACACAGCAUCAAAAAUCAUAUUGAAGGGCAUACUGGAUUAUGCAAAUGGAAUCAAAGUAGGCUCAUCUUGUCCACUUAAGAAGAUAUAUUGUGUCCUGUAUGACAACGACAGUGUAGACGCGUAUCAAAAGCAAUUUGACAUUGUAUAUAAUUCAAGAUUCCGUACAUUUUUGUGGCUUACGUCAUUCACAAAAGAGAGGAAUGGUGAUGAAAACUUUUUAUUUUCGAACAUGUAGCUGACGACACGCCUUUAUUCUAACUUUGUCUCACAGAAAAGCUUAAGGCUACACAGCAAUCGAGGUGUUAAAUAUUUGUCUUUUGACCUGUUCCGUUGGGGCCUUAAUGAUGUACUUGUUGCUAUCGCAUUUUUUGGUCAAGUUAUUUAGUAUUUGUGUAUUUAGUUCAUAUUGUUUUCAUUUUAUAAAGAUUUACACGAUAGUUUUUGUGAUAUCACCUUGUGCAUAUUGUUACUGUUCAUGGAACGUGACCAUUUCUUGGGGUUUUGGGUUGUUUAUCAUGUUUACUUUUCUUUUUAUUCAUAACAGUCGUGUACAUCUCAUAUGUAGACAAAUAGAAUAAUUAAGAAAGUAACUCGCCCUUAAUUUUAAAACUAUAUAUUAUCUAUGAUUUACUAAAGAAUAUGAAUUUUGAUAAAUUUGCAUUACAGAAAAGAUAGAACAAAACAAGGUCAAAACAAGGUCUCUUUGUAAAGUUUAGCUGUGGUUAUUUGUUACAAGCAGUUCAAUUGUUGUGCGAAUAUACUGGUUUCCUUAUACAUGUAUGAUACGGUUUUUUCCAUAAUUCUUACAUUUUUUAAACAGGAAUGUGUUAUCUGAAUAACCUGGCAGUUUUAUUGGAUAUGCUGAUAUGGCAAAGAAUUAAGAAAGAAAUUCAGUUAAUGUAGUCGAUGUCAUAAAUUGAAUGAUUGUUGGAAUUAGUUAAAUGCUGCUAAUUUUUGACAAACUAGUGUCAACUGACGACAACUAGACUUAUCUUAGUAGAACACUAGUCCGACUGUCUGAAAACAUAAAGGCACUUCGCUAAAUUUGGCAUUUGAUACAAUGGGUGUUAAACUAUAUAGCAAAUAACAGGUAGAAUAAUAAACAUUCGCUUUGAUUGAUUUAUGGUCUUCACAAAAAUCUUUUAUAAAAAAAAAAAAAAAAAAAAAAAAACAACCAGAAA